Long non-coding RNA from Homo sapiens (human), 3296 nucleotides. Ensembl annotates it as SMIM14 divergent transcript. Its record names the gene SMIM14-DT. The record is from Ensembl. NCBI's taxonomy places the organism in Eukaryota, Metazoa, Chordata, Mammalia, Primates, Hominidae.
GAGGACUGUGAAGCAAUCGGGGCGAGGCCGGGUGUCUGUUCAACUCUCCCGCGUAUCGUCUGUUUCUUCGGCGGCGGACAGUGUUCUGUAAUGUGUCUCCCGUUGCCCGAGCUAAAGGCAGUCUCCACACCACUGUGCUCGAACAGCUCUAUGAAGAGGCCUAUGUGGAGAGGAGAAAAAGCCUCCACCAACAGCCAGCACCAACUUGCCAGCCAUAUGGCGUCUUGCUCUGUCACCCAGGCUGGGGUGCAGUGGUGUGAUCUCAGCUCACUGCAACCUCUGCCUCCUGGGUUCAAGCAAUUCUUCUGCCUCAGCCUCCCAAAGAGCUGUGAUUACAGACGUGUGCCACAAUACCCGGCUAAGUUUUGUAUUUUUAUUAUUAUUUUAUUUAUGUGUUUAUUUAUUUAUUUAUUUAUUUAUUUUGAGAUGGAGUCUUGCUGUGUCGCCCAGGGUGGAGUGCAGUGGUGCGAUCUCUGCUCGCUGCAGCCUCUGCCCCCCAGGCGAUUCUCCUGCCUCAGCCUCCCGAGUAGCUGGGAUUACAGGUGCCCGCCACCAUACCCGGCUAAUUUUUGUAUUUUUAGUAAAGACAGGGUUUUGCCAUGUUGGCCAGGCUGAUCUCGAACUCCUGACCUCAAGUGAUCUGUCUGCCUUGGCCUCCCAAGGCAGGGAGCCUGCUGGGAUUACAGGCAUGAGCCACCACGCCCAGUCAAAAUGUUUUAAAUGUUUCUAUACCACCAUCUGUGUCAAAGAGCAAAUGGUCUCUCUGCAGCUGGAACAACAAAAACUCAAAUGGUCCACACAGUGGUUCAUACCUAUAAGUCACCAAACCUAAACUAAGUUGUUAUCUGACCUUCUGGAAAUGAGAAGAGAUAGAUAACUGCCAGUUUCCCAAACAGGCCAGUUUAAAUCUUCCUGUAAGCAUGAUAAGGAAGUUCCCUCUGAUUUAAUCCUUACACACGAAAAAGUAGCCUUAAAUAACCUGAUAUUAACUCAUCAGUUUUAUUUUUAUUUAUUUAUUUUUUUUUGAGACAAUGUCUUGCUCUGUCACCCAGGCUGGAGUGCAGUGGCACAAUCUCGGCUCACUGCAAUCUCCGCCUCCCGGGUUCACGCCAUUCUCCUGCCUCAGCCUCCCGAGUAGCUGGGACUACAGGUGCCUGCCACCACACCCGGCUAAUUUUUGUAUUCUUAGUAGAGAUGGGGUUUCACCGUGUUAGCCAGGAUGGUCUCGAUCUCCUGACCUUGUGAUCCACCCCCCUCGGCCUCCCAAAGUGCUGGGAUUACAGGUGUGAGCCACCGCGCCUGGCCACUCAUCAGUUAUUUUUCUAUCAUUUUGUCUUUCUGUCCCCACUUUACAAGAAAAGUGACUUUGAAAGGACUAAUAACAUUAUUCGUUUUUUGCUUCUGCUUUCUUCAGCCCUUCUCUGUCUGUAAAGCCAGCUUCUUUUGCACAGCUCACUGCAACACUUAUUUUUAUUUGUAUUUUUAUUUUUUGAGACAAUGUCUCACUCUGUCACCCGGGCUGGAGAGUGGAGAGUACUAAUGCAGUCUUGGCCCACUGCACCUUCACCCUCCUCAACUCAAGCAAUCUUCCUGCCUCAACUUCCCUGGCAGCCAGGACUACAGGCUUGCACCACUAUACCCAGCUAAUUUUUAAAAUUUUUUUUUUUGUAGAGACAGGGUCUUGCUAUGUGGGCCAGACUGGUCUCAAACUCCUGGCCUCAAGGGAUCCUUCUUCCUUGGCCUGCCAAAGUGCUGGGAUAGAAUAAGUGUGCCGGGGCCACCAUGCCCAGGCCACCACACCUGGCCCACUUAUUCUAUUUUAUGGAAUGAAGUGUUACCCAAUUCUGGCUUUUUUUGAGACAGGGUCGUGCACCGUUGCUCAGGCGGGAAUGCAGUGGCACGAUCUUGGAACACUCCAACCUCCACCUCCAAGGCUCAAGCCAUCUUCCCACCUCAGCCUCCCGAGUAGCUGGGGCCACAGGCGUGUGCCACCACAUCCAGCUAAUUUUUGUAUUUUUUGUAGAGAUGGGGUUUUGCCAUGUUGCCCAGGCUGGUUUGGUCUCAAACUCCUGGUCUCAAGCCAUCCACCCACCUUGGUCUCCCAAAGUGCUGGGAUUACAGAUGUGAACCAACAUGUCCAGCCUUUUUUUUUUUUUGAGACAAAUUCUGGCUCUGUCACCCAGACUGGAGUGCAGUGGUGCCAUCUUGGCUCACUGCAACCUCCACCUCCGAGGCUCAAGCAAUUCUCUCACCCCAGCCUCCUGAGUAGCUAGGACCACAGGUGCUCACCACCACGCCUGGUUAACUUUUGUGUUUUUUGUAGAGAUGGGGUUUUGCCAUGUUUCCUAUGCUGGUCUGGAACUCAUGAACUCAACAGAUUGUCCCACCUCAGCCUCUCAAAGUGCUGGGAUUACAGAUGGAGUCUUGUUGUCUCCCAGGCUGCUGGAGUGCAAUGGUGCAAUCUCGGCUCACUGCAACCUCUGCCUCCUGGAUUCAAGCGAUUCUCCUGCCUCAGCCUCCCAAGUAGCUGGAAUUACAGCUCAAAGCACCUGUCAUAAAAAUAUUAACUUGUAAUAAAAGUGUUUAGUAACACUAAUAUGUGAUGGCAAUUUCAGGAAAGUCAAUGUUCUGAGCAAGAAGAACAAGGAACAGAAGGUAUAAUGAUAACAGAUGAGAGAGGAAAAAGCAGACUCAAUCAACUCCUACUUUUCCAUCAUUUUUCCGUUACAGAGAAUUAUCCUCAAAUUAGAAGGAGUAGGACCUACAUGGUAAAGAAAAAAUUUACGUGCAAGGCAGAUGAGGAAGUAAGAGAGCAUCCAGCCCCUUCACACAACUUCAUUCUCUGUCUUACCGAAAGAAUGUGAAAUGUGGUGGUAGCUUUACUGGGGACAGGAGAGGUGCCAGAAGUUUGAAGAUGGACUAAUCUCCUUGUUUUCUAAAAGAAGAACCUAUAAGUCUCUGAGCACAUUUUUCUUUGGCAAAAUUCUGGAAUGGAUAAUUAGACAAAUGGUUUGUGAAUCUUUAGAAAAGUGGCAAAAACAAGGCACAGCAUAAAUUCACUAAAAAAUAAGUGGACCUAAACUAAGCAUUCUUUCUUCCUGAUAGGAAUCCUACUUUCCUUGGUCUGACACCUGCAGGGUCAAGUAUGGGCCUUGGAGUCAGCUGAGGCUGAAUUCCAAUUCCAGUUCCACCACUCCAAAAGUGACACUUGGACACCAAAUUCUCUGAGACCCUCCUGUAAUGCAAAUUUAGUGGAGCUACUUUGGGGUUAGCUCUCUCUCCCCCAGGGCCUUCCU